RNAcentral lists this ribosomal RNA (488 nucleotides) under uncultured bacterium. Its description in RNAcentral is "bacterial SSU rRNA". It matches the Rfam family "Bacterial small subunit ribosomal RNA", at positions 28 to 507 of the family's 1533-position model. The record is from RNAcentral.
GAUGAACGCUAGCGGCAGGCCUAACACAUGCAAGUCGAGGGGCAGCACGAUUGAGCUUGCUCAAUUGGUGGCGACCGGCGCACGGGUGCGUAACGCGUAUGCAACCUACCCUGUACUGGGGUAUAGCCCGAAGAAAUUCGGAUUAAUCCCCCAUAAAACAGGGGCACCGCAUGGUGAUAUUUGUUAAAGAAAUUCGCUGAUAGAUGGGCAUGCGUUCCAUUAGGUAGUUGGUGAGGUAACGGCUCACCAAGCCGACGAUGGAUAGGGGAACUGAGAGGUUGGUCCCCCACACUGGUACUGAGACACGGACCAGACUCCUACGGGAGGCAGCAGUGAGGAAUAUUGGUCAAUGGGCGGGAGCCUGAACCAGCCAAGUCGCGUGAAGGAAGAAGGAUCUAUGGUUCGUAAACUUCUUUUGCAGGGGAAUAAAGUGCGGGACGUGUCCUGUUUUGUAUGUACCCUGAGAAUAAGGAUCGGCUAACUCCGUG